This 900-nucleotide non-coding RNA is filed under the name Craugastor emcelae. RNAcentral's name for it is "partial 12S ribosomal RNA". It matches the Rfam family "Bacterial small subunit ribosomal RNA". The record is from RNAcentral. Lineage: Eukaryota; Metazoa; Chordata; Amphibia; Anura; Craugastoridae.
CCAGCCUUAAAAUCAAUUUUUACCCAACUUACACAUGCAAGUAUCCGCACCCCAGUGAGAACGCCCCCAUCCAAGAUGGGGAGCUGUCAUCAGGCACAAUGAUUAGCCUAAGACGUCUAGCCCCACCACACCCCCAAGGGUCUUCAGCAGUGAUUAACAUUAAACAUUAACGACAGUUAAAUUUAGUUAGGGUUUUCUAGAGCCGGCCAACGUGGUGCCAGCCGCCGCGGUUAUACCACAGGCUCAAAUUGAUCCAAGUCGGCGUAAAGCGUGACUAAAGUUUUACUCACUAGAACUAAACUUAAAUUGAGCUGUAAAAACCUCAUUUAAUAUUAACACAAAACAAAAGUUAUUAUAGAUAUUCUUGAAUCACGACAGUUGGAAAACAAACUGGGAUUAGAUACCCCACUAUGCCCCCCGUAAACCUUUAAUUACAUCAAGUCCGCCAGAGAACUACGAGCCUAGCUUAAAACUCAAAGGACUUGUCGGUACCCCAAACCCCCUAGAGGAGCCUGUCCUAUAACCGAUAAUCCCCGCUUAACCUCACCCCUUUUAGCUUUUCAGCCUGUAUACUUCCGUCGUAAGCCCACCACGUGAGCGAAAUCCAGUUGGUCCCCCGCCCAUAUGCAUGAACGUCAGGUCAAAGUGCAGCAAAUAAAGAGGGAAGAGAUGGGCUACAUUUUCUAGUUUAGAAUACACGGAAAGCCACUAUGAAACCUGGCCAAAAGGCGGAUUUAGAAGUAAAGCGGGAAUAGAGAGCCCCCUUUAAUCCGGAACUGGGAUGCGAACACACCGCCCGUCACCCUCCUCAAACUACACCAAAAGUAACUUAACACUUAAAAUUUUUAAAGAAGAGGUAAGUCGUAACAUGGUAAGUGUACCGGAAGGUGUACUUGGAAA